This 534-nucleotide long non-coding RNA is filed under the name Vigna radiata. Its description in RNAcentral is "long non-coding RNA (VRAD_LNC006432)". Lineage: Eukaryota; Viridiplantae; Streptophyta; Magnoliopsida; Fabales; Fabaceae. The record is from RNAcentral.
AGCCAAAUUGAUGGUUCAAAGGGACUAAAUUGACACAAAUUGCAAAACAUGGGGACCCAAUGUAUACACUUUUAAAAGCGGGUACUAAACUGAAAAUUUCCUCUUAACAUGGCGACCAAUUAAGGAUUUAAGUCUUUAUCAAUUAAUAAAGUUAAUAUAGUCAACAUUUAUUUAUUGAGUUAAAAUACUAUUGUUUAAGUAAAUUUUAUUUUGAAAUUUAAAAUAGUUAUUUAAAGAAAUAAUGUCUAUCAAUAAAAUGUUUUGAGUAAUUCUCCUUACACCUUCGUGACCUAAUCUUACACCUCCCAAUUUUGGUUUAAUUCCACCUGUACCCCUAAGUCUACUCUGUCAAAGCCUAUGAAACAUUUUUUGGUUUUAUAAAAAGUUGGUUUGCUCUGCCUCAUCCCAGACCAAAACCAAACCAAACCAUACACCCCCUUUAUUAUUUCUUCUUUCUCCCUCUUGUUGUACUCCCCUUCAUCCUUUUCCUGCCUCUUUCUUACCACUUUUGUUGUCUUCCCCCUCAUCCCCUCC